GAACGCUGGCGGCAGGCCUAACACAUGCAAGUCGAACGGUAACAGGAAGAAGCUUGCUUCUUUGCUGACGAGUGGCGGACGGGUGAGUAAUGUCUGGGAAACUGCCUGAUGGAGGGGGAUAACUACUGGAAACGGUAGCUAAUACCGCAUAACGUCGCAAGACCAAAGAGGGGGACCUUCGGGCCUCUUGCCAUCGGAUGUGCCCAGAUGGGAUUAGCUAGUAGGUGGGGUAAAGGCUCACCUAGGCGACGAUCCCUAGCUGGUCUGAGAGGAUGACCAGCCACACUGGAACUGAGACACGGUCCAGACUCCUACGGGAGGCAGCAGUGGGGAAUAUUGCACAAUGGGCGCAAGCCUGAUGCAGCCAUGCCGCGUGUAUGAAGAAGGCCUUCGGGUUGUAAAGUACUUUCAGCGGGGAGGAAGGGAGUAAAGUUAAUACCUUUGCUCAUUGACGUUACCCGCAGAAGAAGCACCGGCUAACUCCGUGCCAGCAGCCGCGGUAAUACGGAGGGUGCAAGCGUUAAUCGGAAUUACUGGGCGUAAAGCGCACGCAGGCGGUUUGUUAAGUCAGAUGUGAAAUCCCCGGGCUCAACCUGGGAACUGCAUCUGAUACUGGCAAGCUUGAGUCUCGUAGAGGGGGGUAGAAUUCCAGGUGUAGCGGUGAAAUGCGUAGAGAUCUGGAGGAAUACCGGUGGCGAAGGCGGCCCCCUGGACGAAGACUGACGCUCAGGUGCGAAAGCGUGGGGAGCAAACAGGGAUUAGGAUACCCUGGUAGUCCACGCCGUAAAACGAUGUCGACUUGGAGGUUGUGCCCUUGAGGCGUGGCUUCCGGAGCUAACGCGUUAAGUCGACCGCCUGGGGAGUACGGCCGCAAGGUUAAAACUCAAAUGAAUUGACGGGGGCCCGCACAAGCGGUGGAGCAUGUGGUUUAAUUCGAUGCAACGCGAAGAACCUUACCUGGUCUUGACAUCCACAGAACCUUGUAGAGAUACGAGGGUGCCUUCGGGAACUGUGAGACAGGUGCUGCAUGGCUGUCGUCAGCUCGUGUUGUGAAAUGUUGGGUUAAGUCCCGCAACGAGCGCAACCCUUAUCCUUUGUUGCCAGCGGUCCGGCCGGGAACUCAAAGGAGACUGCCAGUGAUAAACUGGAGGAAGGUGGGGAUGACGUCAAGUCAUCAUGGCCCUUACGACCAGGGCUACACACGUGCUACAAUGGCGCAUACAAAGAGAAGCGACCUCGCGAGAGCAAGCGGACCUCAUAAAGUGCGUCGUAGUCCGGAUUGGAGUCUGCAACUCGACUCCAUGAAGUCGGAAUCGCUAGUAAUCGUGGAUCAGAAUGCCACGGUGAAUACGUUCCCGGGCCUUGUACACACCGCCCGUCACACCAUGGGAGUGGGUUGCAAAAGAAGUAGGUAGCUUAACCUUCGGGAGGGCGCUUACCACUUUGUGAUUCAUGACUG
RNAcentral lists this ribosomal RNA (1459 nucleotides) under uncultured organism. RNAcentral describes it as "SSU rRNA". It matches the Rfam family "Bacterial small subunit ribosomal RNA". The record is from RNAcentral.